UGAGCUGAGGUUAGUAGUAGAACACCUGCCUAGCAUGCAGGAGGCCCUGGGUUCCAACCCCAGCACCUAAA
RNAcentral lists this transfer RNA (71 nucleotides) under Ictidomys tridecemlineatus (thirteen-lined ground squirrel). Its description in RNAcentral is "Spermophilus tridecemlineatus (thirteen-lined ground squirrel) tRNA". It matches the Rfam family "tRNA". From Rfam's summary of the family: Transfer RNA (tRNA) molecules are approximately 80 nucleotides in length. Their secondary structure includes four short double-helical elements and three loops (D, anti-codon, and T loops). Lineage: Eukaryota; Metazoa; Chordata; Mammalia; Rodentia; Sciuridae. The record is from Rfam by way of RNAcentral.